GACGAACGCUGGCGGCGUGCCUAAUACAUGCAAGUAGAACGCUGAAGAGAGGAGCUUGCUCUUCUUGGAUGAGUUGCGAACGGGUGAGUAACGCGUAGGUAACCUGCCUUGUAGCGGGGGAUAACUAUUGGAAACGAUAGCUAAUACCGCAUAACAAUGGAUGACACAUGUCAUUUAUUUGAAAGGGGCAAUUGCUCCACUACAAGAUGGACCUGCGUUGUAUUAGCUAGUAGGUGAGGUAAUGGCUCACCUAGGCGACGAUACAUAGCCGACCUGAGAGGGUGAUUGGCCACACUGGGACUGUGACACGGCCCAGACUCCUACGGGAGGCAGCAGUAGGGAAUCUUCGGCAAUGGGGGCAACCCUGACCGAGCAACGCCGCGUGAGUGAAGAAGGUUUUCGGAUCGUAAAGCUCUGUUGUAAGUCAAGAACGGGUGUGAGAGUGGAAAGUUCACACUGUGACGGUAGCUUACCAGAAAGGGACGGCUAACUACGUG
RNAcentral lists this ribosomal RNA (497 nucleotides) under uncultured bacterium. RNAcentral's name for it is "partial 16S ribosomal RNA". It matches the Rfam family "Bacterial small subunit ribosomal RNA", at positions 28 to 507 of the family's 1533-position model. The record is from RNAcentral.